UAGCAUCGUCUUUUUGGUUUCCGAAGGCCCCGUUCGGCGUUCGCUCUGCAUUCCCCUUUUUGGUAUAUAUAUUUGAAUGAAUGGUUGAAUGUAGAAGUUGUCUUUUAGAUGUUUACGUUGUUCCUGCGUUCAACGCAUGCUCGGCGAUGGGUAAACUAUGGAUUUUCCGGCGGUUGGCAAACCUGGGGGCUGCGGAUCGCGGGAACCAGCUGCAGAAUGGUCGCAUCUUCUUCGCAUUUUGAGGCGGAUUCGAUCGUCUUUCUUUCGGGGCACUGAAAUCCAGUGCAUCGAAAUAAUCUAACCAAUGUUGAAACCUCCCGUUGAACUGGGUUCGGAAAGUUAUUGGGGCAUGGUGCUGCGAUGGAUACGGAGGUUGUCGUGCAAUUCGUGGGUCAACCAAGCGUAACCGAUCAUGCCUGUUGAUUCUUCAGGGUGGUCUUCUCUGCGUACGUAAUUAAGAAGAAGGAAGCGGCGAAUUAGGACGGACGAGGGCCGAGGCAACCGGCACUGCUUGUUUUGCAUUUGUUCUGUACAUUUAAGCCCCAUUCAGAUCAUGAGCUGUUUCGAUUUAUAAUACACGGGUAAUGGAAGGAUCUCUCACUUUGUGACAGUAUAAUUCCAUUAAAAUUGCGUCUGAUGGUGAAAUGUAAAAUUUUAAAGGAUGCUGGUCAUGUGGGCAUACUUUUUAGAGAGUCUCCCUUUUGGUCAUGCUCGAGGUUAUUAUUAGGUGAUUUAAUAAUUCGUUUUUUCUUAUUAUCAGGCACUUUCAUUCCGUUCCUUUUUGAAUUACAACUUGCAGGAGAUGUUUAGAUCCGCUGGGUUUGACCCUUUCCCUUUGCUGUUGCUUAGAUAAUUUCUUUUGAAGUACAUCAACUUUCUAUUUGGUUCAUUCAAUUCCCUUGAUAUUGGAAUUGGGUAUACCAUUGGAUUCUUUUUUAUGCUUGUCCUACCUCUGUUAUUUCUUUAGAGAAUUCUAACCAUAAACGAAUAAUUAGAGAAGAUUUAACCGUGUACUUCACAUGUUUUCUAAUUCAGAAUACAGAUGAUACUUCGAUAGGGAUCUAGAAAGCAAAAAAGCAUGUACACUCAAUUAGGAGAUUAGAUUUCUUAUAAUCAGAUUAUAUAGUUUCUUUUUGUCCAUUUCAGUAGAGCUGUAUGUAUUAUCUUCUGUAUCAUUUCGUUAAUUAAAAUUGUACAUGUGUUAUGACUGUUUAUGAGUAUUGUAACUUAGGAUUUUCUCAUUAUUUGUUUCUUAUUGAUAUUGACUUUUCAUGGAAGGUCCCCUUUGAACCGCUCAGCCGAUGCCUUGAAAUUGUGCAGGCAAGAGGGGACCAUCACCACAAUUUGUGUAUUGUAUCAGUGUCAGCACAUUGGACCAUAUCUGCCAGUGCUGCUACGUUUAAAUGAAAAAUUUCCUCGGAAUUCCUUUCAAGGGGGAACAUCAAUAUGAGAAUUAGAGGAAGACAAUCGUACUUUGUAUAUCUUUGAUGGUGCAAAUUGUUGUGCCUUUAGACAUUUUGAAUACUUGGAUAUGAGGUUAUACCCUCUUAUCUUAUCCCGUUUGUGGGAUAAAUUCUGGUCUAUACUUCCUUCUUGUUGCUUCUCUCUCGAGAAGCCACUUAGUACCAUCUUGACUUCUACUUAGAGCCUUGUGAUAAUUUUGCUGACAUUUGACAUUUAAAUAACAGAUAGUGAAGAUGGGGUCUGACUUCUGAAGGUCUCGGAGAGAGACGUUAAAGAUUGUAACUCUUAAUGUAAAGUGCAUGGCUAUGUUUAGAGGUUCACAAACUUCAUCUUCUUUGCAAUUUCUCUUCCUUGUCCUUCCCUGUCAUGCUUCAUUCAUAUAUGGCCUCUAAGUUUGGAGGGACAUUACUUGUACCAGUUCCUCGAAGAGUUUUUCCCUUUAGUGGAAGAGAAACAUGAAUUUCAUACUUGUGGUUUUGGUGAGAUAAUAAAAUGUACGGAGCAUUCCUUUCUCGGACAUUUUGAGCUACUAUUACUUAGUACAGGUCAUAGCCUUUUUCCCUGUACUUUAUUUUUAAAAUAUCUUCCAUGAAAUGCUUGAAUGAUAUAACUCUUCCAUCAUUCCAUGAUUUUAAUUGGACCAUAGGUUUCAUGUACCAACUAUGUCAUGGCCAUUUACAGGCACCCUCCUAGUUUGUACCCAUUGGAAAGUGUAACCAAGGAGUCAUCCAUUGGAAGUGGAACAACUCUCUUUCUGUGCAAUUUACUAUCAUUGCUUAUUGUUUCAAGUAAGUUCGACAUCCUUAACAGUAUUUACUUGGACAGGUUCAGGGACGCUUGUUUCCAGAGAGGAUAUCUAUUGCUUCGAUUCAGAAAGGAGACGGGGACAGAUCCACUUCUACAUCCUGAAAGUUAGAUUACUUGUAUCUGUGGGGAUUAUCCUGAUGACUAAAGUUAUAGGCUGUGCCUUUUCUACCAGUCUUUUUCCUGUGACUAAAGUAGAAAAUAGAGCUCAAAACCCUUUGUUGCGGGUGCUGGAAACUGGGAAGAAACCAUAUUCUGGGCCUGGUGAAUCAGCAGCUUCUCCAGCUCCGUGGUCAUGAACUCCCAAAGUUUUGGUUGGUUGGCUGCUUUGCAUCCGGUGCCUUUUCUUUCAAUAUAUAAACUGUUAGAAUUAGAAAGAUGGGCUCUCCGUUCACAUUGUGAUGUCUUGCAUUCAGAUUCAGACAUGCCUAUAUUCUUAGUGUCAUGUUGGCUUAGGACAAAUUAUACUACACGAAAUCAGGAAUGGUUGGCCAUGCUUGAAAAUUGAAAUUUGGUUCACCUACUUUUACUGACAAUUUAACCUCAUCUGCUCAUACUUCCUAGGCUCAACAUGAGCAGGCUACUGCUAUCUUAUACAAUGUCAACGACUUUAUCACCAUUCUACAUAAGAUUGAUGUUUCGCA
This is a non-coding RNA of Momordica charantia (bitter melon), 2912 nucleotides long. The record is from RefSeq and is a predicted model, not a curated record. NCBI's taxonomy places the organism in Eukaryota, Viridiplantae, Streptophyta, Magnoliopsida, Cucurbitales, Cucurbitaceae.